AGGGACUUAGGUUAGAUUUAGACCUAGGGCCUUCAAAGCCCUCAGCGGGAGUUAGACUCUCCCAGACCCUG
Molecule: transfer RNA, 71 nt
Filed under: Thalassoma quinquevittatum
Lineage: Eukaryota; Metazoa; Chordata; Actinopteri; Labriformes; Labridae
Also listed under: 1 other name
Description: tRNA-Trp
Rfam family: tRNA
About the family: Transfer RNA (tRNA) molecules are approximately 80 nucleotides in length. Their secondary structure includes four short double-helical elements and three loops (D, anti-codon, and T loops). Further hydrogen bonds mediate the characteristic L-shaped molecular structure. tRNAs have two regions of fundamental functional importance: the anti-codon, which is responsible for specific mRNA codon recognition, and the 3' end, to which the tRNAs corresponding amino acid is attached (by aminoacyl-tRNA synthetases). tRNAs cope with the degeneracy of the genetic code in two manners: having more than one tRNA (with a specific anti-codon) for a particular amino acid; and 'wobble' base-pairing, i.e. permitting non-standard base-pairing at the 3rd anti-codon position.
Source: RNAcentral